Molecule: transfer RNA, 71 nt
Filed under: Urocitellus parryii (Arctic ground squirrel)
Lineage: Eukaryota; Metazoa; Chordata; Mammalia; Rodentia; Sciuridae
Also listed under: 2 other names
Description: Spermophilus parryii (Arctic ground squirrel) tRNA
Rfam family: tRNA
About the family: Transfer RNA (tRNA) molecules are approximately 80 nucleotides in length. Their secondary structure includes four short double-helical elements and three loops (D, anti-codon, and T loops).
Source: Rfam by way of RNAcentral
GUGUCUGUAGCUCAGUGAUAGAGCAUGUGCCUAGCAUGCACAAGUCCCUGGAAUCAAUCCCCAGUGCCACC